Long non-coding RNA from Colletes gigas, 1069 nucleotides. RefSeq lists it as uncharacterized. The transcript has 3 exons. The record is from RefSeq and is a predicted model, not a curated record. NCBI's taxonomy places the organism in Eukaryota, Metazoa, Arthropoda, Insecta, Hymenoptera, Colletidae.
AAAAGCACAAAAUAUUAUAACUAUCGAUGUUAGCAUAUUCAGGAAUCUCUCCUCUAUCUUUUAAGAUUAAGCGGAACUGUCUGAUGUUUUUAAUUUUCGCGUAAUACCUCGUUUUUGCCAAAAAUUGGACGUUUUCGCAAAAACUCGUGUUUUUCGAAAACUGAGGGUGAUACAGCAAUUCCAUUUUCACAUUCGUGUUUAGGAAACAGAGCUCUACAAGAAUCACCUAGUGGGUACGGAAAAACAAAAUUCGUGUUGAACAGUGUUAUCGAUAGAAUGACGCCAUUUUUUUUUUGUGGGGGUUACAUCAAACAACAGAUUUAUAAAAUAUCGCUACGAAGCACUGCAGAUUUACAAAACAGACUUCAAACUGUGUGUGAAAAUAUUCCAACGGAUACUCUAAUAAACGUGGAAAAGGAGUUUGUCAAAGUAGAUUUAGAAAUAAACAUAAAAGUCUAUAAAUUAUAAUAGUUGUUAUAUUCAAUGGCUUCUUUGUUAGCUAUUCGUUGGCUACUCUCCAGGUGACGUGAUUAGGUUAGGUCAACACGACGCGCGAGUGAUAGUGAAAUUAGAAAAAUGACGCCUUUCUUUAAAUAACGAUAUCUCUGAAACGGAAAGUCGGAUCGACGUUAAACAAAAAUGAUUUCAAAGAGGAAGCUUUGCCUCUCCUAACAGUGGUACUGUUAUGCGGGCAAACACGAGUACUGUAAUUACGUGGAGUGGUGACCACAGAAUAAAUAAAUUUCAGGAAGGAGACGGCUCCAAACUGAAGGCGUGGUUGGAAGUGCUUUUGCGACGCGUUUUGCUGAAAACCAAGUCAGAGUAAGCGACACGAAUAAAAUACAGAUCAAAGAGGAAAAGUCGGGACUGUCCGACGCAGAUUUUAACGAGUGCCGUGGGACAAAGGUAUAUACCAUACCUAUCGCUUGAACCAUCGUUUUCUUUGAAUACUAAUGGUAAUCAAGCUGUACGAUUCAAAGGGCUUAGCCUACGUUAGAAAACUAAAAUUCGAAUGCAUUACACAAAUGGAUAACGCUGUCAUUUUUUAACAAGGAGACAAAAUUAAUCG